CACUUCUUUCUCCUGCCUUUGGACAUCGGAACUCCAGGUUCUGCAGGCUUUCCAGCCUCUGGACUUAACAGCAGUCUCUGGACUUACAACAGCAGCCCCCUGGAUCCUCAAGCCUUUGGCCUCAGACUAAGAAUUUUAUCAGCAACUUCCUGGUUCUGAGGCUUUUGGGCAGCCAUGCUGCCAGCAUCCCAGCAGUUCCAGCAGAAGGCCUGUUGUGGGACUUCUCAGCCUCCAUGAGCAUGGAUGGAAAAGAACACAUUAGCUGCAUUGAUGGCUGCAUGCCAGGUGCCCAAGGCUGUGCUCAUCUGCUCUAGCAAAGGUAAGCUUGCUUAAAAGAACUCCAGAUGGCCCUGGAGCUGCAGGACCCUUUGCCAAUUAUCAGAGGAAGAUAAGGCCUGUGUGAAACCGGGGCAAAUCUGAACCAGCGACCCCGUGUUACCUUUAGAUCAUUAACAUAUCAUCAUAAUGCUAAAACCUCACACAUAGAAGAUAAUUGCUGCCAUUUUCUGAAUAUACAUUAUAUGAAGAAGCAUGUUCAUGAUCUGCACCUGCACAUCUGGACUUCCUCCCCACACAUUUACGUACCUCCCUGCCCCACAUCUAACUCCUUAAAAUCCCCCAGCUUCUCAUACCUCAGGGAGAAGUAGUCUUUAGAGAAAGAGCUCCCUCCUCCACUCCUGGCCAGGAAUAAAACCUGCUUGCCUUUUUUCCCAAUUAGGUGUUACAGUAGAACUCAGUUACCCUGUAACAAUAAGAAUUGCAUUAAAUCCUUAUAUCAACUUGGGAAGAAUUGACACCUUUACCAUAUUAAGUCUUCUAAUCCAUAAAUAAGUAUGUUCAUUCAUUUUUUUUGGAUUUUUGAAAUUUCUUUCAUCAGCAUUUUGAAGUUCUCAGCAUGUAAGCCCUGUACAUGUUUUGUUGGAUUUAAAUUUAAGUAUUUUGUUUUUUGAUAAAUUGUAAGUGCUACUGUAUUUUAAAUUUCAGUGCCCAUGUGUUCAUUGCUAGUAUAAAGAAAUACAACAUAUUCCUGCAGUCUAGCUGAAGUCACUUAUCAGCUCUAGGAGCUUUUGAUUUUUGUUUUAUUUUUGGUAGAUCUUUGAGAUUUCCUACUUAGAUAAGCAUGUUAUCCACGAAUAGGGACAGUUUUAUUACUACCUUUCUGAUCUGUAUGCCUUUUAUUUCCUUUUCUUACCUUAUUGCAUUGGGUAGAACUUCCAACACUGUUUAACAAUAAUGGUAAGAGCAGUCAACCUUGCCCUUUUCCUGUUUUCAGGGUACAACCAUUCAGUCUUUCACUGUUAAGUAUGAUGCUGGCUGUGGAGUUGUUAUAGAUGCUCUUUAACAAGUUAGGACAAAUUCCCUCUAUUUCUCUUUUUCUGAGCGUUUUUAAAACCAUGAAUGGGUAUUUUGUCAAAUGCUUUUUCUGUAUUGAUUGGUAAGAUCAAUUUUCUUUUGUAUCCAGUUAAUACGUUGGAUUAUGUUGACUGAUUUGUGAAUAGUAAAACAGCCCUGCAUUCCUGCAGUAAGCCUCACUUUGUUACAAGAUCUUUGGGGUGUUGCUUUUCUGGCCAGAAACCUCUGUGGCCAGUGGCGCCUUUGCCCAAGUUUUGUUUGUGCUCACUGGGCU
This is a long non-coding RNA of Nomascus leucogenys (northern white-cheeked gibbon), 1627 nucleotides long. RefSeq lists it as uncharacterized. The transcript is spliced from 3 exons. NCBI's taxonomy places the organism in Eukaryota, Metazoa, Chordata, Mammalia, Primates, Hylobatidae. The record is from RefSeq and is a predicted model, not a curated record.